CCUACGGGUGGCUGCAGUAGGGAAUAUUGGGCAAUGGGCGAAAGCCUGACCCAGCCAUGCCGCGUGCAGGACGAAGGCCCUCUGGGUUGUAAACUGCUUUUGCAGGAGAAGAACCAAUGAUUUGCGAAUCAUUCUGACGGUAUUCUGCGAAUAAGCCACGGCUAACUACGUGCCAGCAGCCGCGGUAAUACGUAGGUGGCAAGCGUUGUCCGGAUUUAUUGGGUUUAAAGGGUGCGUAGGCGGAUGCUUAAGUCAGGGGUGAAAGACGGCCGCUC
This 275-nucleotide ribosomal RNA is filed under the name uncultured bacterium. RNAcentral describes it as "partial 16S ribosomal RNA". It matches the Rfam family "Bacterial small subunit ribosomal RNA", at positions 338 to 610 of the family's 1533-position model. The record is from RNAcentral.